AUGAACGCUGACAGAAUGCUUAACACAUGCAAGUCUUUGGCGAAGCUGUGCUUGCACAGCCUAGCCAAGGCGGACGGGUGAGUAACGCGUAAGGAACUUGCCCUGCAGUCAGGGAUAACAGACGGAAACGACUGAUAAGACCUGGUAAAGUCAGGCGGACUCAUGUCCAGCCUGAUGAAAAGAGAUGCUGCAGGAGAGCCUUGCGUCCUAUUAGCUUGUUGGUGGGGUAACGGCCCACCAAGGCGAUGAUAGGUAGCCGGCCUGAGAGGGUGGACGGCCACAAGGGGACUGAGAUACGGCCCUUACUCCUACGGGAGGCAGCAGUGGGGAAUAUUGGACAAUGGGGGCAACCCUGAUCCAGCAAUUCUGUGUGCACGAUGAAGGUUUUCGGAUUGUAAAGUGCUUUCAGCAGGGAAGAAAAAAUGACGGUACCUGCAGAAGAGGCGACGGCUAAAUACGUG
RNAcentral lists this ribosomal RNA (461 nucleotides) under uncultured bacterium. Its description in RNAcentral is "partial 16S ribosomal RNA". It matches the Rfam family "Bacterial small subunit ribosomal RNA", at positions 29 to 507 of the family's 1533-position model. The record is from RNAcentral.